AGCUUUGUGCAGUGGCAGUAUCGUAGCCAAUGAGGUUUAUCUAAGGCACGAUUCUUGCUAAUUGACAAGGAAGGCACAACAUCCCCUAACUUAUGGGACACAAUGAAAGCAGUACUAAGAGGAAACUCAUAGCUCUGAGUGCCUACAAAAAGAAACUG
Small nuclear RNA from Rattus norvegicus (Norway rat), 158 nucleotides. Ensembl annotates it as U4 spliceosomal RNA. NCBI's taxonomy places the organism in Eukaryota, Metazoa, Chordata, Mammalia, Rodentia, Muridae. The record is from Ensembl.